AACUGUAAACAGUAGACUACUUUGAGGUUUUAGUGUCACUUUUAUGAAAGAUGAGGGACUUAUGACCUGUGGCCAUUAUAGCCAGCCACGAGGGGGCUCACUUCGACUGAUCUGUCAUGUUUGCUUGCAUAAAGGCCAGCAAGAGCCAAUCCCUACCCGCCCCUGACCAGGAAAGGUACUGUCGGUCAUGGCCGCUCUGUGAAGAUGUCAAACGAAUCGGCGUUAGCCGAGAACAUCGGCAGAGCCGUCCUGGCGGCUAUACAAAAUUUUUCAACAGCGACAGCAACAGCCUCUGGGACACCACAGAACACCUCAGCUCCCACCACCUACAGUAACACACUGGGGCCAGCCACACCCACCACCUCCACUGGGACAUCAUAUCGCUCGGGCUCCAGCACCAGCGCUAACAUAUUUUACCAGCAACAGACUUUGCUUCAGUGACCUGUCUUUCAAAUGACUACCAAGGAAGACAUCAGAUUUCCAAAGAGGAGCUCGAACAUGUUCUUUCUCUGAAAACCACCUUUACAGAAGCGGCAUCUAUUCUUUCAAUUUCAAGGCCAACUUUCUACAAGUUACUUCAAGACUAUAAUAUGCCAACGUCAAAAUUUAAGAGCAUCAGUGAUCAACAGUUGGAUAUUGAAUUGUCACAAAUAAAAACUGAACACCCAAAUGUUGGAGAAGUGAUGCUUAUGGGACAUCUCCGCUCCAAAAACAUUGUGGUUCAAAGACAACGAGUAAGAGAUUCACUCCGAAGGAUGGACCCAAUUGGUGUCCUAGCCAGGAGAAGAACAGCAAUAGCUAGGCGAGUAUACUCUGUCCCACAUCCAAAUUUCAUAUGGCAUGUAGACGGAAAUCAUAAGUUGAUUAGGUGGAAAUUGGUUGUUCAUGGUGCCAUAGAUGGCUACAGUAGGAUGUUAAUGUUUCUUCACUGCUCCAACAAUAAUCGUGCUGAAACUGUAAGAGAUCUCUUUACUGCAGCUGUUCGACAGUUUGGCAGACCACUGCACAUCAGGACUGAUCACGGAGGAGAGAACGUUCAGAUUUGGGAGGACAUGCAUGUGAGCAGGGGGAUGGCUCUGUCUUAACAGGAAGUUCUGUACACAACCAGAGGAUCGAGCGUUUUAAUCGAGACUUGAACAAAAACUGCAGCCAUAUUUAUGCACCCAUUUUUUAUGAACUGGAAUCCCUGGGUAUCCUAGACAUAGACAAUGCAACAGACCUAUUUUGUCUCCAUUAUGUCUUUCUACCCAGAAUCAACCGCACUUUGGAGGAAUUCAAAGCUGGAUUUAACAAUCACUCUAUGUCAUCUGAAGGAAAUAGAACACCAGUUCAGCUUUUUACUCUGGACAGUGAUUUGCCUCAUCUUCACAACCCAGAACUCUCAACAGCAGGGGUAGUUUUUUGUUCCUCAGCAAACUCUCAAAGUGUACUUUCCCCAUUGAAUGACAGGGAUUUGCAAGAACUGAAUGAUGCCAUUAACCCUCUUCAAAAUGACAACAACAAUGGCAAAACAUUGUUUCAGAGAACACAACAGUUUAUUUUUGAUAAACUUGUAAAUGUGUGAUCUCAGCAUAUAACAUGUACAAUUGUGUAACAUUAGUCUUAUUUCACUUUCAAAAGUACACUGUGAAACAAAUUUCAGGGCUCUACAGAUGUAUUGAUACAUAACUGUCUUCCACUACAUUGCAAUACAUUGUUCCUGAUUUUUAAAGUACCUAAAUGUGCAAAGUAAAACAACUCAGUGAAGUAAAACAA
Xyrauchen texanus (razorback sucker) is the source of this 1755-nucleotide long non-coding RNA. RefSeq lists it as uncharacterized. The transcript is spliced from 4 exons. The record is from RefSeq and is a predicted model, not a curated record. Lineage: Eukaryota; Metazoa; Chordata; Actinopteri; Cypriniformes; Catostomidae.